This 441-nucleotide ribosomal RNA is filed under the name uncultured Caldilineaceae bacterium. RNAcentral's name for it is "bacterial SSU rRNA". It matches the Rfam family "Bacterial small subunit ribosomal RNA", at positions 338 to 795 of the family's 1533-position model. Lineage: Bacteria; Bacillati; Chloroflexota; Caldilineae; Caldilineales; Caldilineaceae. The record is from RNAcentral.
CCUACGGGCGGCUGCAGUGAGGAAUAUUGGGCAAUGGGCGAAAGCCUGACCCAGCAACGCCGCGUGGAGGAAGACGGCCUUCGGGUUGUAAACUCCUUUUGACGGGGAAGAGAGAGGACGGUACCCGUCGAAUAAGUCACGGCUAACUACGUGCCAGCAGCCGCGGUAAUACGUAGGUGACAAGCGUUAUCCGGAAUUACUGGGCGUAAAGCGCACGCAGGCGGCAGAUUAAGUCUGACGUGAAAUCUCCUGGCUUAACUGGGAGGGGUCGUUGGAAACUGGUCAGCUUGAGGUGGUGAGAGGGGUGUAGAAUUCCCGGUGUAGUGGUGGAAUGCGUAGAUAUCGGGAGGAAUACCAGUGGCGAAAGCGACACCCUGGCACUAGCCUGACGCUCAUGUGCGAAAGCGUGGGGAGCAAACGGGCUUAGAUACCCCGGUAGUC